GGCGCGUUCGUCUAACGGUUAGGACGGAGCCCUCUCAAGGCUUAAAUACGGGUUCGAUUCCCGUACGCGCUACAA
RNAcentral lists this transfer RNA (75 nucleotides) under Bacteroidota bacterium. RNAcentral describes it as "Bacteroidetes bacterium (microbial mat metagenome) tRNA-Glu". It matches the Rfam family "tRNA". Rfam says of the family: Transfer RNA (tRNA) molecules are approximately 80 nucleotides in length. The record is from RNAcentral. Lineage: Bacteria; Pseudomonadati; Bacteroidota.